RNAcentral lists this long non-coding RNA (1435 nucleotides) under Cyanistes caeruleus (blue tit). Its description in RNAcentral is "lncRNA (ENSCCEG00000009989.1)". Lineage: Eukaryota; Metazoa; Chordata; Aves; Passeriformes; Paridae. The record is from RNAcentral.
UUAAAAAGCUUACUGGAGAGACAAAUGUAAACUAUAGCUAGGUGCGCUCACGUUAGACAGUUAUGUGCUGAAUCUAAUUUGAAAUGGAUAAGUGCUAACACAUUUAAUUUCCUGCAUACUCAGUGAGACAAUGUUCGUUUUUUUUUAAACAGUAAUUUUGAGUGAGCCUUUCAAAGUGCUUGAGUCAGCACCACUGCAAGAGUGUUUGGAAAGAUGAUCAUGCAAAUGGAACUUCAAGUGAUUUAAUAUGCUCACCAUCACAGACUGGAAACUUGAAAUCUAAGAGAAAUAGCAUGUGUGGUACUAGUCACCAGAGGAGGGAAAUCAUAUAGCUAUGUGGAAAAGGAUGCAACUCUGAGUUCAGGUUCAGUCAAAGAGGAGAAGCAAGUACCACACUAAUAGGCUCAUGUGAGAGAGACAAAAGCCAUUCCAUGAGGCCCAAAAUUCAGUAAUGGAAGGAUCAGCAGUUCAGGCUUUUUACCAGGUUGUUUUAAAUGUUCAUAAAGGACAUCAAGAAACCAAAGUCCUGUUAGUUCAUGAUCCCUUUUCACAGGAGAAGUGUCCUAGAAUUUGUCCUGUGGUGACACUAAUUUUUGUUGUUGAAAUUUCUGCUGUUCCUGAUGUGUCAGGUAAGAGAGAUGUUAUCUCACUCGCUUUUCUGGUGAAAGCUCCAAUGUAUGUUGUCUUACAAAUCCAUGUUUUUACAAAAUCCAUAUUGAGAGAAGAGUCUAAGUCAGACAGUAACACUUGGUCCCCAUUCAGAACUCCGUGGCUGCCAGGCAGCCAUUCCUGUGUCUGUCUGGGAGGUGGACACUCUCUACGCACACCAGCAGCACACAGAUCUUAUGUACAGCUGCCAACACUGCUUUGCUAACCACAGGCUGGGUCUUUGAUGCUGUCUCAGCAGACAACAUUCUGAGCAGGGCUAUUUGGUGUCUUCUAAAUGCUGUAAAAUUACAGAUUAAUUUAUUGGUGCGUCUGUUCCAGGCUCACUGAGCAAACCAGAAGCUUUGGGAUACCUUUGUGGCCAGACAUUAUGGUAACAUUCUCCACUAGAGAAUGCAGGAGCCAGCACAAUUCUGUGUGGUUGGCAGGACAUACACAGAUGUAUCUGUGGUCUAAACCCAGUUCUGAGCCUGUUAUUUUUCUAACCUUGUGCAGCAGAAUGAUAAGCUGCACAGACAAAAUAGGCUCUGUGCUUCUCUGAGAGAAAAGGAGGAUAGGUUUCCUGCUGAGGAUGUAAGCCUUUGACUAUGACUGUAGUAGUGAAAUUUGCCUUUUCUCACAGUCCAGAAAAAAGUAAAAAAAAAAAAAGAAAAAAGAAAAAAAGAAAAAAAAAAGAAUAAUAGACAUUGAAAAAUGCACAUUAUUUCAAUAUAACUAAUACUUGAAGUAAGGUAAUAAAUAGAAAAACGUGUAAUUUGAAGGAAUAAGA